RNAcentral lists this long non-coding RNA (294 nucleotides) under Elaeis guineensis (African oil palm). RNAcentral's name for it is "long non-coding RNA (EGUI_LNC013512)". The record is from RNAcentral. Lineage: Eukaryota; Viridiplantae; Streptophyta; Magnoliopsida; Arecales; Arecaceae.
AUUGGCCGAAGACAUGGAAUGGAGGGUCUUCGAAUGGUGUUAUAUCCAUUACCCACAUGCCUGAGCAUCUGUCCCCGGGUCACUCGGACCUAAAGAAGGCAUUGAUUGUCUUCCUUCUGCUUGUUUUCUUCUCCCAUGAGGCAUCAUAGCAGAACAACAAAGAUAAGAAGACAAAGAGCUAUGGAAAGAGAAAAGGUAGCAGCCAGAAGGAGAAAGAACAUGCCCUUACUUGCACUCGCCAGAAGCGUAACUCCCUCCUUGUGUGCAUGGCCUUCGAAGAUUUCGGGCCUUGCC